AUCCUCUCAGGGUCGCACCUGGAGAGUUUCCGGUACUCUACCAAUCUCGACUACGGGACGGAGAGUGAAGCAGAGGCCUAUCCAUUCCAUUCCUAGCUUGGCCAGUGGCUGGAGAGUGGAAGGCAACCUGCUACAAGU
This is a small nucleolar RNA of Ornithorhynchus anatinus (platypus), 138 nucleotides long. Lineage: Eukaryota; Metazoa; Chordata; Mammalia; Monotremata; Ornithorhynchidae. The record is from RefSeq and is a predicted model, not a curated record.